This 76-nucleotide transfer RNA is filed under the name Rhodobacteraceae bacterium 63075. Its description in RNAcentral is "tRNA-Thr". It matches the Rfam family "tRNA". Rfam says of the family: Transfer RNA (tRNA) molecules are approximately 80 nucleotides in length. Their secondary structure includes four short double-helical elements and three loops (D, anti-codon, and T loops). Lineage: Bacteria; Pseudomonadati; Pseudomonadota; Alphaproteobacteria; Rhodobacterales; Paracoccaceae. The record is from RNAcentral.
GCCCCUAUAGCUCAGCUGGUAGAGCAACUGAUUUGUAAUCAGUAGGUCGGCAGUUCGAAUCUGUCUGGGGGCACCA